RNAcentral lists this ribosomal RNA (122 nucleotides) under uncultured Chlamydia sp. RNAcentral's name for it is "partial 16S ribosomal RNA". It matches the Rfam family "Bacterial small subunit ribosomal RNA", at positions 1409 to 1527 of the family's 1533-position model. The record is from RNAcentral. Lineage: Bacteria; Pseudomonadati; Chlamydiota; Chlamydiia; Chlamydiales; Chlamydiaceae.
AGUUGGUUUUGCCUUAAGUCGUUGACUCAACCUUUUUUAGGAGAGAGGCGCCCAAGGUGAGGCUGAUGACUGGGAUGAAGUCGUAACAAGGUAGCCCUACCGGAAGGUGGGGCUGGAUCACC